UAAGGAAUAUUGGUCAAUGGACGAAAGUCUGAACCAGCCAUCCCGCGUGCAGGAAGAAGGGGCUCUGCCUUGUAAACUGCUUUUGAAUGGGACGAAAGAGCUAUAUGCGUAUAGUGUUGACGGUACCAUUAGAAUAAGCACCGGCUAACUCCGUGCCAGCAGCCGCGGUAAUACGGAGGGUGCAAGCGUUAUCCGGAAUUACUGGGUUUAAAGGGUGCGUAGGCGGUGUGUCAAGUCAGUUGUGAAAUCUCCGAGCUUAACUCGGAACGGUCAACUGAUACUGUCACACUAGAGUACAGAAGGGGCAAUCGGAAUUCUUGGUGUAGCGGUGAAAUGCGUAGAUAUCAAGAGGAACACCUGAGGCGAAGGCGGGUUGCUGGGCUGAUACUGACGCUGAGGCGCGAAAGCUAGGGUAGCAAACGGGAUUAGAUACCCUAGUAGUCCCUGAGCGGGCUGGCAAGGCGCAU
RNAcentral lists this ribosomal RNA (467 nucleotides) under uncultured bacterium. RNAcentral's name for it is "bacterial SSU rRNA". It matches the Rfam family "Bacterial small subunit ribosomal RNA", at positions 355 to 825 of the family's 1533-position model. The record is from RNAcentral.